UGAACGCUGGCGGCGUGCCUAACACAUGCAAGUCGUACGAGAAAUCCCGAGCUUGCUUGGGAGAGUAAAGUGGCGCACGGGUGAGUAACGCGUGGGUAACCUACCCUCGAAUAGGGGAUAACUCCGCGAAAGCGGAGCUAAUACCGCAUAAGACCACAGCCGCUUCGGCGGCAGAGGUUAAAGCUGACCUCUCCAUGGAAGUUAGCGUUCGAGGACGGGCCCGCGUCCUAUCAGCUUGUUGGUAGGGUAAUGGCCUACCAAGGCAGCGACGGGUAGCUGGUCUGAGAGGAUGAUCAGCCACACUGGAACUGGAACACGGUCCAGACUCCUACGGGAGGCAGCAGUGAGGAAUUUUGCGCAAUGGGCGAAAGCCUGACGCAGCAACGCCGCGUGGGUGAAGAAGGCCUUCGGGUCGUAAAGCCCUGUCAGGUGGGAAGAACCUUUUUCGAUACUAAUAAUGUCGGAAUCUGACGGUACCACCAGAGGAAGCACCGGCCAACUCCGUG
RNAcentral lists this ribosomal RNA (506 nucleotides) under uncultured bacterium. Its description in RNAcentral is "bacterial SSU rRNA". It matches the Rfam family "Bacterial small subunit ribosomal RNA", at positions 30 to 507 of the family's 1533-position model. The record is from RNAcentral.